AACGAACGUUAGCGGCGCGCUUAACACAUGCAAGUCGAGCGAGAGCCCUUUGCUUCGGCAGAGGUAGUAAAGCGGCGCACGGGUGAGUAUCACGUGGGAAACCUACCCUCCGGCUGGGGAACAACUCCGGGAAACCGGGGCUAAUUCCGCGUACGACGCCAGGUUGAAAUACCUGGCGGGAUAGGAGUAAUCCGACGGAGGAUGGGCCCGCGGCCUAUCAGCUUGAUGGUGAGGUAAUGGCUCACCAUGGCUAUGACGGGUAGCUGGCUUUAGAGAGUGACCAGCCACACUGGGACUGAGACACGGCCCAGACUCCUACGGGAGGCAGCAGUGGGGAAUCUUGCGCAAUGGGCGAAAGCCUGACGCAGCGACGCCGCGUGGGUGAUGGAGGCCUUCGGGUCGUAAAGCCCUGUGGGGAGGGAAGAAGCCUUCGGGCUGACGGUACCUCCUUAGCAAGCACCGGCUAACUACGUG
RNAcentral lists this ribosomal RNA (474 nucleotides) under uncultured bacterium. RNAcentral describes it as "bacterial SSU rRNA". It matches the Rfam family "Bacterial small subunit ribosomal RNA", at positions 28 to 507 of the family's 1533-position model. The record is from RNAcentral.